AGUCGAGCGGACAGAAGGGAGCUUGCUCCCGGAUGUUAGCGGCGGACGGGUGAGUAACACGUGGGUAACCUGCCUGUAAGACUGGGAUAACUCCGGGAAACCGGAGCUAAUACCGGAUAGUUCCUUGAACCGCAUGGUUCAAGGAUGAAAGACGGUUUCGGCUGUCACUUACAGAUGGACCCGCGGCGCAUUAGCUAGUUGGUGGGGUAAUGGCUCACCAAGGCGACGAUGCGUAGCCGACCUGAGAGGGUGAUCGGCCACACUGGGACUGAGACACGGCCCAGACUCCUACGGGAGGCAGCAGUAGGGAAUCUUCCGCAAUGGACGAAAGUCUGACGGAGCAACGCCGCGUGAGUGAUGAAGGUUUUCGGAUCGUAAAGCUCUGUUGUUAGGGAAGAACAAGUGCGAGAGUAACUGCUCGCACCUUGACGGUACCUAACCAGAAAGCCACGGCUAACUACGUGCCAGCAGCCGCGGUAAUACGUAGGUGGCAAGCGUUGUCCGGAAUUAUUGGGCGUAAAGGGCUCGCAGGCGGUUUCUUAAGUCUGAUGUGAAAGCCCCCGGCUCAACCGGGGAGGGUCAUUGGAAACUGGGAAACUUGAGUGCAGAAGAGGAGAGUGGAAUUCCACGUGUAGCGGUGAAAUGCGUAGAGAUGUGGAGGAACACCAGUGGCGAAGGCGACUCUCUGGUCUGUAACUGACGCUGAGGAGCGAAAGCGUGGGGAGCGAACAGGAUUAGAUACCCUGGUAGUCCACGCCGUAAACGAUGAGUGCUAAGUGUUAGGGGGUUUCCGCCCCUUAGUGCUGCAGCUAACGCAUUAAGCACUCCGCCUGGGGAGUACGGUCGCAAGACUGAAACUCAAAGGAAUUGACGGGGGCCCGCACAAGCGGUGGAGCAUGUGGUUUAAUUCGAAGCAACGCGAGAACCUUACCAGGUCUUGACAUCCUCUGA
Molecule: ribosomal RNA, 951 nt
Filed under: Bacillus safensis
Lineage: Bacteria; Bacillati; Bacillota; Bacilli; Caryophanales; Bacillaceae
Also listed under: 1 other name
Description: bacterial SSU rRNA
Rfam family: Bacterial small subunit ribosomal RNA
Source: RNAcentral